This is a long non-coding RNA of Gymnogyps californianus (California condor), 396 nucleotides long. RefSeq lists it as uncharacterized. Lineage: Eukaryota; Metazoa; Chordata; Aves; Accipitriformes; Cathartidae. The record is from RefSeq and is a predicted model, not a curated record. The transcript has 3 exons.
AGGUGACUUGAUUGUGAACAUUUUUGCUGCUUCCGAAAGCAAAAUUGUAUGAGCUACAGUUUUAUCAGUGCCACGUACUCUUACUUCAGCACGUUAUCCAUCUUAUGUGGAGUUGCAGGAUACAAAAUGAGUCUGACAUGAUUUUUCUUCUAUCAAAAAUGAACUUGGGCCAAGAUUCACCAUUCCAGAAUGCUUUCAAAACACUUAUGUGUACUGUAACAAGUGGCCGUAUCUGGUCCUCAGCUCUCCUCCCUCCCAGUGCCUACCCACCUGCUGCGUGGCUGGAGGGAUGCUUGCCUUGUGGCACAGACUUGGCAUGGCAUCCUCUUGCAGAGGCUCCCUGCAACUAGGACUCCUGGCACACAGCAGUUCCAUUGCCCUUGGGAACUUGCGCUA